GAUGAACGCUGGCGGCGUGCCUAACACAUGCAAGUCGAACGGAGAUUCCGGACGGAAGUUUUCGGAUGGAAGACUGUAAUUCUUAGUGGCGGACGGGUGAGUAACGCGUGGGCAACCUGCCCUAUACAGGGGGAGAGCGGCUGGAAACGGCUGGUAAGACCGCAUAAGUCGGCGAUACCGCAUGGUGUUGCCGGGAAAUGAGCAAUCAGGUAUAGGAUGGGCCCGCGUCCGAUUAGCAGUUGGCAGGGUAAAAGCCUACCAAAGCAACGAUCGGUAGCCGGACUGAGAGGUCGGACGGCCACAUUGGGACUGAGACACGGACCAAACUCCUACGGGAGGCAGCAGUGGGGGAUAUUGCACAAUGGAGGAAACUCUGAUGCAGCGACGCCGCGUGAGUGAAGAAGUAUUUCGGUAUGUAAAGCUCUAUCAGCAGGGAAGAUGAUGACGGUACCUGACUAAGAAGCCCCGGCUAACUACGUG
Molecule: ribosomal RNA, 480 nt
Filed under: uncultured bacterium
Lineage: Bacteria
Description: partial 16S ribosomal RNA
Rfam family: Bacterial small subunit ribosomal RNA
Source: RNAcentral